This 1021-nucleotide ribosomal RNA is filed under the name uncultured Pseudomonas sp. RNAcentral's name for it is "bacterial SSU rRNA". It matches the Rfam family "Bacterial small subunit ribosomal RNA", at positions 23 to 1058 of the family's 1533-position model. Lineage: Bacteria; Pseudomonadati; Pseudomonadota; Gammaproteobacteria; Pseudomonadales; Pseudomonadaceae. The record is from RNAcentral.
CAUUGACUUAGCUGGCGGCGGGCCUAACACAUGCAGUCGAGCGGAUGAAGGGAGCUUGCUCCCUGAUUUAGCGGCGGACGGGUGAGUAAUGCCUAGGAAUCUGCCUGGUAGUGGGGGAUAACGUUCCGAAAGGAACGCUAAUACCGCAUACGUCCUACGGGAGAAAGCUGGGGACCUUCGGGCCUUGCCCUAUCAGAUGAGCCUAAGUCGGAUUAGCUAGUUGGUGAGGUAAUGGCUCACCAAGGCGACGAUCCGUAACUGGUCUGAGAGGAUGAUCAGUCACACUGGAACUGAGACACGGUCCAGACUCCUACGGGAGGCAGCAGUGGGGAAUAUUGGACAAUGGGCGAAAGCCUGAUCCAGCCAUGCCGCGUGUGUGAAGAAGGUCUUCGGAUUGUAAAGCACUUUAAGUUGGGAGGAAGGGCAUUAACCUAAUACGUUAGUGUUUUGACGUUACCGACAGAAUAAGCACCGGCUAACUUCGUGCCAGCAGCCGCGGUAAUACGAAGGGUGCAAGCGUUAAUCGGAAUUACUGGGCGUAAAGCGCGCGUACGUGGUUCGUUAAGUUGGAUGUGAAAGUCCCGGGCUCAACCUGGGAACUGCAUCCGAAACUGGCGAGCUAGAGUACGGUAGAGGGUGGUGGAAUUUCCUGUGUAGCGGUGAAAUGCGUAUAUAUAGGAAGGAACACCAGUGGCGAAGGCGACCACCUGGACUGAUACUGACACUGAGGUGCGAAAGCGUGGGGAGCAAACACGAUUAGAUACCCUGAUAGUCCACGCCGUAAACGAUGUCAAUUAGCCGUUGGUGUCCUUGAGAACUUAGUGGCGCAGCUAACGCAUUAAGUUGACCGCCUGGCGAGUACGGCCGCAAGGUUAAACUCAAAUGAAUUGAUGUGGGCCCGCACAGCGGUGGAGCAUGUGUUUAAUUCAAAGCAACGCAAGAACUUACCUGGCCUGACUUGCUGACAACUUCCUAAUGGAUUGUGCUUCGGUACUCAAAUCAGUGCUGCUGCUGUCGUCAG